Molecule: long non-coding RNA, 1340 nt
Organism: Gopherus agassizii (Agassiz's desert tortoise)
Lineage: Eukaryota; Metazoa; Chordata; Testudines; Testudinidae
Source: Ensembl
AUGAGUGGUGUGAAUGGGGUGUGAUUCUGUUUACUUUUGUCUUUCUCCAGGAUCUACAGCAGCUGCCACUGCUCAUUCUUGCUUUCAGGUGGAACUCAACAAAGGCAUCACAGCUCUAGCCAAUGCCUUUUUCCAGUGUUCCUGGGGAGCAGUAGAGAAGGAUCCUGCAGAAGAUAAACGAUCUACUUGCUUUGACUCCCAGACAAUAUUUGAAGAACUUCUGAGCAUCCGAAUGUCGCCAGAUCCCCAGUUCCUUGAGAAAUCCCAACAUGAAAGGUUGCAAAAUUACCAACAUUUUCAGCUUCAGACGGAGAUUCAGGAUAUGAUGGAAAGUUCAAGGAGAAAAGGAGCAAUGAAGUGGAGUGGUGAGGGGGAUAAGAGAAAUGCAGAUUCCUCUGGCAUUCAGGUUGCAAAGCUAGAGAAGAUGCUGGAUGGUCUGAAUGAGGAGUUCUUCCAGCUCACAGUGCAGGCCUUGACAAUACAGAAGGAGGAGGAACUACUGGACCAGAAGCUCAGAAUCCGGGAGGAAUCAUUUGCGACGCUGGGCAGGAUUCAUGAGGAGGAAGCACAACACUUCACAGAGCAGCUGGAAUCCUGGGCUGCAAAGAGAGACCAGGCCCAGUUGCUGGAAAUUAAGAAGAGCUGUGUUGCUCAGAGAAUUAAAGACACAGAAUCUGAGCUCUUUCAUCUUCUGCAAACCACAGCAGAUACCAGCUCAUCUCCUGAAGGAGUCCAGCAAUCCUUUCGUACCAGCUAAAAGCAUCCAACUGAUGAUGUUCCAUCAUUGCUGUGUUGAACAGACCUGUGAAAACAUAGGCACCUAUUUUCCAUGGGACAUUCAUACAUGUAGAUACACACAGUGACAUGCUGNACAGACCUGUGAAAACAUAGGCACCUAUUUUCCAUGGGACAUUCAUACAUGUACAUAUAUGAGGCUACACAACCUUCAACCCACACAUAAGCAUCAUGUGGGUUAUAUGGGCACAUACUGGCGAUAAAUAUAUGCACAGAAACAAAGACACUAAUGGAUACAGUUUGAUACAAAUACAUAUGUUCAUGAACAUAGGUGUUCACAUGUACACUGAUAGAAGCAUGCUGUAGUUCCUACAUAUAUAUACUCUUUACAGCUGUGAAGGCGUAGACUCAAAUGUAUUCCUACUCACUGUUAAUCAUCUAUAAUUGUGCAGUGUUGAAAAUAUCAAUGUUCUUAACUUAUAUCGGUGUUCUGAAUGUACCACUCUCAAUCAAUAAGACAAAAAGAGAGUAGGAAAUUAGACUCCUCACAUACAUUGUAGGAAAUCCCUGCCCCUCAGCAAAAUAAAUUAUGUGCAUCUCAUGCA